UCUGGUUGAUCCUGCCAGUACACUAUGCUCGUCUCUAAGACUAAGCCAUGCAUGUCUAUGUUCAAACUAAUCUAAUGUGAGACUGCGAAAGGCUCAGUAAAUCAGUUAUAAUCUAUUUGAUUGUAAACCCCAUUGGAUAACCGUGGGAAAUCUAGAGCUAAUACAUGUGAACAAUUGUGCUUCGGUGCAAUGCAUUUAUUAGACAACAACCAACGCGCGCUGUGUCGGCUGUAGCAAUACAACGGUGCAGUGUGUCCAGGUGAAUCUAGAUAACUUUGCUGAUCGUACGGCCUUGUGCUGACGACGUUUCAAUUGAAUUUCUGCCCUAUCAACUAGUUGGUAAGGUAGUGGCUUACCAAGGUUGCAACGGGUAACGGGGAAUCAGGGUUCGAUUCCGGAGAGGGAGCCUGAGAAACGGCUACCACAUCCAAGGGAGGCAGCAGGCGCGCAAAUUACCCAAUCCAGACACUGGGAGGUGGUGACGAGAAAUACUGGACAGUUUGUGACAAACAUGCUGUACCGGAAUGAAUGUAAUUUAAGGACGUACAUGAGAAACAAUCAGAGGGCAAGUCUGGUGCCAGCAGCCGCGGUAAUUCCAGCUCUGAUAGUGUCGUGUGACGUUGCUGCGGUUAAAACGCACGUAGUUGGAUUACGCAGUGUAAGAACGGUACUCUAUGUGUCCCAGCAUUAAAGCCCCUUGAUUGGCUUUCGCGUCGGAUAACGGGUGUACGAUUACGGUCUGCACUACGCCCGUCGUGUUGGUAGUUUUGGGGUGCUGGAGCAUGUAGAAUCCAGCCGUCUUAUGCUACAUGUAUCGUGAGUGUGAUGUAUUGCCUUGACUGGUCGUACAUCGUGUUUGCGGAGUGUGCCUUGAAUAAAUCAAAGUGCUUAAAGCAGGCGUGUUAGCUUGAAUGUUAAUAGCAUGGAACGAACAAUUGUGAAUGCAUCGGUGUGGUGCGACGUGCAGAUUAUGUCUGUGCGUGUGACUGCAUCGGUGUAGCACCAACCGUCGAAUCGGAUGUUGGUUUCCGACUUGAGGUGAGGAUUAAAACGAGCGGUUGGGGGCAUUAGUAUUUGUCCGCGAGAGGUGAAAUUCUUGGACCGGACAAGGACUGACAAAUGCGAAAGCAUCUGCCUAGACCGUUUCGAUUGAUCAAGUACGAAAGUGAGAGGUUCGAAGACGAUCAGAUACCGUCCUAGUUCUCACUGUAAACGAUGCCAACCCGGGAUCAGUUUUGAGCUAAGUUAAUUACUAUGCUCGUGGUUGGUCCCCCUGGGAAACCUUAAGUUUUUAGGUUCCGGGGGGAGUAUGGUUGCAAGGCUGAAACUUAAAGGAAUUGACGGAAGGGCACCACCAGGGGUGGAGCCUGCGGCUUAAUUUGACUCAACACGGGAAAACUCACCAGGUCCGGACAUCGAAAGGAUUGACAGAUUGAUAGCUCUUUCAUGAUACGGUGUAUGGUGGUGCAUGGCCGUUCUUAGUUCGUGGAGUGAUCUGUCAGGCUUAUCCCGGUAACGGACGAGACCAUUGUCUUCAUUUAGAGCGCCAAAGAAAGGGAUGAAUAAUCUCGAUGGCAACAUUUGGUCGGUCGGCAGGAAUGUAACAGUUUUUGUCGAUUGUGCUAGGUGUUCCCUUUGGUUUGUAGGGCCAUUGGCCUUAUGUUAUGAAGAGACAACCGAGUAUCAUAAAGUCGGGCGAAGCUUUUGGCAAUAACAGGUCUGUGAUGCCCUUAGAUGUCUUGGGCCGCACGCGCGCUACAAUGACAACAACAGCGAGCGUCUAUGUCGAAAGAUACGGGCAAUCUUGUUAAUUGUUGUCGUGAUAGGGAUCGUGCCUUGUAAUUAUUGCACGUGAAAGAGGAAUCUCCAGUAAAUGCAACUCAUCAAGUUGUGUUGAUUAAGUCCCUGCCCUUUGUACACACCGCCCGUCGCUACUACCGAGUGAAUGGUGUCAUGAUGCGUUGUGACCGGACGUUGCCAGCUAUUCGCGUAGAUGGCGAUGCUGGGAUCAACGUAGAAUGGCGCAAUUUCGAGGAAGUAAAAGUCGUAACAAGGUUUUCCGUAGA
Molecule: ribosomal RNA, 2066 nt
Filed under: Raabeia sp. CIIMAR.R.19
Lineage: Eukaryota; Metazoa; Cnidaria; Myxozoa
Description: SSU rRNA
Rfam family: Eukaryotic small subunit ribosomal RNA
Source: RNAcentral